Molecule: long non-coding RNA, 830 nt
Organism: Pogoniulus pusillus (Red-fronted tinkerbird)
Lineage: Eukaryota; Metazoa; Chordata; Aves; Piciformes; Lybiidae
Exons: 3
Source: RefSeq, a predicted model, not a curated record
GUGAAUCAAAGGUGGUUGUAGAAUAAACUCCUUGCAAGGAGUUUCUACCAUCUUUUGAUAUUUAUUCUAAUACUACCCUGAAAAAUUUUGGAUCAAACUCAAUGACUGCAUUCUUUCCCCUUUUCCCAGAACUCUAAAUAAUAUUAGUUACGAGUUUAAAACCAAAUGUAUAAUCCUGCUUCCUCACUGCUUUUACAGGAGAUGGCUUUGCUGCACGGGAGGAGAGUUUAUAUCCAGUUCCUUUGCAAACAAAACACCUUUUCUUGAGUCUUUAGACGCCGUUUCCUUUUGAACAUUCAAAGCAUGAAUGUGGCAACAAUUGUGGUACUAUACGUGAAUGGAUCAUAUACAAAUAGAAGUAAGAGGAAAGAAAACUGAGACUGGGUCAGAUGUGAUCACACCCAAUUAGCUCUUUGUUUCUGAAAAUUGUGUAUUACAUGGCAGAUUCCAUGCUGACUAGAAAGCACAAGUUACAUUGGUUGCCUUGCUAAAUUCUGGAUCCCAGCACCUGCAGAGUUGCUACAAGAGUUGAGCCUUAUCUUCACAUCAGCCACUGUACACCUGCAGAAGCAUCGUGCAUCAAUACCAUGGCAAGUGUUCUAAGAAGAGAAGUUACCACCCACUGAAGGUUUUCAGGAACAGCUGUCUCCAUGCAUGUUCUCAAACUGCUUUCUCUCCUUGCAGUCCAGAAGAAAUUAAGGUACAUACAGCCUACAAUUAGUCCAGAAAGGAAGCAGAGCACAUGAGCAUGAUGCAGACAGAGCAAAACGUCCUGUGGAGAGAAGUGCCACCCUUCAACCAUAACGACAAUAUAAAGUCUAGGUUUUGUA